CAGUCGCCGCGGUAAUACGAAGGGUGCAAGCGUUAAUCGGAAUUACUGGGCGUAAAGCGCGCGUAGGUGGUUCAUUAAGUUGGAUGUGAAAGCCCUGGGCUCAACCUGGGAACUGCAUCCAAAACUGGUGAGCUAGAGUACGGUAGAGGUUAGUGGAAUUUCCUGUGUAGCGGUGAAAUGCGUAGAUAUAGGAAGGAACACCAGUGGCGAAGGCGACUACCUGGACUGAUACUGACACUGAGGUGCGAAAGCGUGGGGAGCAAACAGGAUUAGAUACCCCCGUAGUCCCUGUCUCUUAUAC
This 301-nucleotide ribosomal RNA is filed under the name uncultured bacterium. Its description in RNAcentral is "partial 16S ribosomal RNA". It matches the Rfam family "Bacterial small subunit ribosomal RNA", at positions 509 to 807 of the family's 1533-position model. The record is from RNAcentral.